This is a non-coding RNA of Carica papaya (papaya), 804 nucleotides long. NCBI's taxonomy places the organism in Eukaryota, Viridiplantae, Streptophyta, Magnoliopsida, Brassicales, Caricaceae. The record is from RefSeq and is a predicted model, not a curated record.
CCCGAUCAGUUUCAGAAUACCCCAUUGCUCUUCUUCGUACACGAACGGUGCCUUUCGAAGCUUCCUCUUCUCUGGUUUGCUGAACGACAAAGGAACAAGAAGAAGGCAAAACGUACAGAGAGCAGAGAGACAGAGAUGUACGGAGUCAGAGGCUAUUAGGGAGAGGGACGAAGAGAAGGACGAUGAAACAAGCACGCAUCUGAGCUGGCUCGAACAAGGAAGAAACGAAAAGGCAGAUCGGUAUAAGAGAAGGCUCCUUCGAUUUGAAAGAGAGAGGGGGCGAAGAAAGGGGAAAUGGAGGUAUGAGAAGAAAGGCCUUCGGUUUUGGGAGCGAGCUUGAGUCGUCGUUUGAGCGGGAGAGGAGAGAAGAGAAAAGGAAAAAGGAAGAGGAGGCGAUUUUGGGAGAGUUUUAGUGGAAGAGAGAGAGAGGAGAGCAGAAGGUUUUCAGAGAGGCCGAGAGAAGAGGGAGCAAAGAACGGUGGUUUUCGAUGAAGAAGUAGGAAAGGGUGUUCUUAGUGUUGAAGUUCACGAGGGUUGAAUCCAGAAUCAGGUAGUGAGGAGCGUUGCUCGUGGACAAGUUGAGCAGAGAGAACAGCUAAGACAGUGUUCAGCAAUGGAGGAGUCUGUGCGAGAAGUGCUUUAUGAGACUCGCAAUCAUGCUUCCAUGCCCUACUAUUCUAAUUACCCUCCUCUUCCUCAGGCAAACAAAGGAGGUGCUAAGGGGGGGUUCUUAUCAUUUCUUUCAAUUCGAGGUGUUAGUCAACUUAAGGGGAAAUGGAGGGGGAUAUGCAUAUCCAAGGAAAA